This 490-nucleotide ribosomal RNA is filed under the name uncultured bacterium. Its description in RNAcentral is "partial 16S ribosomal RNA". It matches the Rfam family "Bacterial small subunit ribosomal RNA", at positions 30 to 507 of the family's 1533-position model. The record is from RNAcentral.
AUUGAACGCUGGCGGCAGGCCUAACACAUGCAAGUCGAACGGUAACAGGAAGCAGCUUGCUGCUUCGCUGACGAGUGGCGGACGGGUGAGUAAUGUCUGGGAAACUGCCUGAUGGAGGGGGAUAACUACUGGAAACGGUAGCUAAUACCGCAUAACGUCGCAAGACCAAAGAGGGGGACCUUAGGGCCUCUUGCCAUCGGAUGUGCCCAGAUGGGAUUAGCUAGUAGGUCGGGUAACGGCUCACCUAGGCGACGAUCCCUAGCUGGUCUGAGAGGAUGACCAGCCACACUGGAACUGAGACACGGUCCAGACUCCUACGGGAGGCAGCAGUGGGGAAUAUUGCACAAUGGGCGCAAGCCUGAUGCAGCCAUGCCGCGUGUAUGAAGAAGGCCUUCGGGUUGUAAAGUACUUUCAGCGGGGAGGAAGGGAGUAAAGUUAAUACCUUUGCUCAUUGACGUUACCCGCAGAAGAAGCACCGGCUAACUCCGUG